UACGGAGGGUGCAAGCGUUAAUCGGAAUUACUGGGCGUAAAGGGCGCGUAGGUGGUAUCUUAAGUUGGGUGUGAAAUCCCCGGGCUCAACCUGGGAAUUGCAUCCAAAACUGGGGUGCUAGAGUGUGGUAGAGGGUAGCGGAAUUUCUGGUGUAGCGGUGAAAUGCGUAGAUAUCAGAAGGAACAUCAAUGGCGAAGGCAGCUACCUGGGCCAACACUGACGCUGAGGCGCGAAAGCGUGGGGAGCAAACAGG
This 253-nucleotide ribosomal RNA is filed under the name uncultured prokaryote. RNAcentral's name for it is "partial 16S ribosomal RNA". It matches the Rfam family "Bacterial small subunit ribosomal RNA", at positions 524 to 776 of the family's 1533-position model. The record is from RNAcentral.